Molecule: non-coding RNA, 98 nt
Organism: Acanthosepion pharaonis
Lineage: Eukaryota; Metazoa; Mollusca; Cephalopoda; Sepiida; Sepiidae
Source: the annotation of a GenBank genome assembly
UAGACACACCGGUUCUCGUACGAUCACAAAAGUUAAGCAAUGUCGAGUCUGGUCAGUACCUAGAUGGGUGAUCGUUUGAAAAUACCAGGUCCUGUAAG